Molecule: non-coding RNA, 294 nt
Organism: Camelina sativa (false flax)
Lineage: Eukaryota; Viridiplantae; Streptophyta; Magnoliopsida; Brassicales; Brassicaceae
Source: RefSeq, a predicted model, not a curated record
ACGUUCUGGUCGUCUUCUACCUUUAGAAGGACUGAUCGAGAAAACGAUUACGGCGGAGGGGGAGAUUCGAACUUCAUCUUUCUCGUUUACUGUGGCGACUCGACACCGUUAGAUCAAUGGAAGCGGUAGAAAAAUCUGAAGAACCCAUCCCAGGCAAUUCUUCAAGAUUAGCUGGGAAUCCAAACUGGGGAACAGCAACUGUUGUUGGGGUCUUUGCAGGAUUGCUUUAUGGAGGCAGCAAAGAAGCUUCUGCUUCUGUGAGUAAAGAUGCAGAAGUGAUGUUGAAGAUGGGUA